AGUCGAACGAGAAUCUACUGAAAGAGUUUUCGGACAAUGGAUGUAGAGGAAAGUGGCGGACGGGUGAGUAACGCGUGAGGAACCUGCCUUGAAGAGGGGGACAACAGUUGGAAGCGACUGCUAAUACCGCAUAACGCAUAGGGGUCGCAUGAUCUUUAUGCCAAAGAUUUAUUGCUUCAAGAUGGCCUCGCGUCUGAUUAGCUAGUUGGCGGGGUAACGGCCCACCAAGGCGACGAUCAGUAGCCGGACUGAGAGGUUGAACGGCCACAUUGGGACUGAGAUACGGCCCAGACUCCUACGGGAGGCAGCAGUGGGGAAUAUUGGGCAAUGGGCGCAAGCCUGACCCAGCAACGCCGCGUGAAGGAAGAAGGCUUUCGGGUUGUAAACUUCUUUUAAGAGGGAAGAGUAGAAGACGGUACCUCUAGAAUAAGCCACGGCUAACUACGUGCCAGCAGCCGCGGUAAUACGUAGGUGGCAAGCGUUGUCCGGAUUUACUGGGUGUAAAGGGCGUGCAGCCGGGUCUGCAAGUCAGAUGUGAAAUCCAUGGGCUCAACCCAUGAACUGCAUUUGAAACUGUAGAUCUUGAGUGUCGGAGGGGCAAUCGGAAUUCCUAGUGUAGCGGUGAAAUGCGUAGAUAUUAGGAGGAACACCAGUGGCGAAGGCGGAUUGCUGGACGAUAACUGACGGUGAGGCGCGAAAGUGUGGGGAGCAAACAGGAUUAGAUACCCUGGUAGUCCACACUGUAAACGAUGAAUACUAGGUGUGCGGGGACUGACCCCCUGCGUGCCGCAGUAAACACAAUAAGUAUUCCACCUGGGG
This 819-nucleotide ribosomal RNA is filed under the name uncultured bacterium. RNAcentral's name for it is "bacterial SSU rRNA". It matches the Rfam family "Bacterial small subunit ribosomal RNA", at positions 60 to 878 of the family's 1533-position model. The record is from RNAcentral.